Molecule: ribosomal RNA, 374 nt
Filed under: uncultured organism
Description: partial 16S ribosomal RNA
Rfam family: Bacterial small subunit ribosomal RNA
Source: RNAcentral
GGGAGGGGGCCAGCGUUGUUCGGAAUUAUUGGGCGUAAAGGGCGCGUAGGCGGCCUGGUAAGUCAGUCGUGAAAUCCCUCGGCUCAACCGAGGAACUGCGUCUGAUACUGCCGAGCUUGAGUCCCGGAGAGGGUAGCGAAUCCCAGUGUAGCGGUGAAAUGCGUAGAUAUUGGGAGGAACACCAGUGGCGAAGGCGGCUACCUGGACGGGUACUGACGCUGAGGCGCGAAAGCGUGGGGAGCAAACAGGAUUAGAUACCCUGGUAGUCCACGCCGUAAACGAUGGGCACUUGGUGAUGCGGGUAUCGACCCCCCCUGCAGUGCCGAAGCUAACGCAUUAAGUGCCCCCGCCUGGGGAGUACGGUCGCAAGGCUG